RNAcentral lists this ribosomal RNA (492 nucleotides) under uncultured bacterium. RNAcentral's name for it is "partial 16S ribosomal RNA". It matches the Rfam family "Bacterial small subunit ribosomal RNA", at positions 29 to 507 of the family's 1533-position model. The record is from RNAcentral.
AGUGAACGCUGGCGGUAGGCCUAACACAUGCAAGUCGAACGGCAGCACAGUAAGAGCUUGCUCUUACGGGUGGCGAGUGGCGGACGGGUGAGGAAUACAUCGGAAUCUACUUUUUCGUGGGGGAUAACGUAGGGAAACUUACGCUAAUACCGCAUACGACCUACGGGUGAAAGCAGGGGAUCUUCGGACCUUGCGCGAGUGAAUGAGCCGAUGUCGGAUUAGCUAGUUGGCGGGGUAAAGGCCCACCAAGGCGACGAUCCGUAGCUGGUCUGAGAGGAUGAUCAGCCACACUGGAACUGUGACACGGUCCCGACUCCUACGGGAGGCCGCAGUGGGGAAUAUUGGACAAUGGGCGAAAGCCUGAUCCAGCCAUACCGCGUGGGUGAAGAAGGCCUUCGGGUUGUAAAGCCCUUUUGUUGGGAAAGAAAAGCAGCAGGUUAAUACCCCGCUGUUCUGACGGUACCCAAAGAAUAAGCACCGGCUAACUUCGUG